RNAcentral lists this long non-coding RNA (429 nucleotides) under Urocitellus parryii (Arctic ground squirrel). RNAcentral describes it as "lncRNA (ENSUPAG00010007860.1)". Lineage: Eukaryota; Metazoa; Chordata; Mammalia; Rodentia; Sciuridae. The record is from RNAcentral.
GUCAACUCUUUGCGCUGAUAGGUUUAAAUUGCUGCCCUGCAGAGGGCCUGCUUUAGCCUGGCCGGUGGUUGACUGGAGUCUGAGGCCAUGAGCACUGUCGCUGUGACUCGGGCGGCCGCGGGACCAGCCUCUAGGCCAGCUUCCUGCCUCACUCCGCCGAGAAUUGGACCGACAGAUCCCCUUCGCCCCCGAACCAAAAUGACAGCAGAUCUCAUACGCGCGACUCCAGCCACAGCCGAGUCUCUGUUCUUGAACUAGGCAGACUUCUUCAUUCUGUCCCUCUGCUGGAGUAACUGCCCAUCUCUCAGGCUGCCUGGCUAUCAGAGUUCCUUGACAGCUGGUCCCCUUCAAGCACACUAACGUCUGUCCAGUGUUUACCUCUUUUAUAGCACUGUGGGCUGUGCAAAUUAAAUGAGUUUGUUAUCAGCA